Molecule: ribosomal RNA, 468 nt
Filed under: uncultured bacterium
Lineage: Bacteria
Description: partial 16S ribosomal RNA
Rfam family: Bacterial small subunit ribosomal RNA
Source: RNAcentral
GACGAACGCUGGCGGCGUGCUUAACACAUGCAAGUCGAACGGAAAGGCCCUGCUUUUGUGGGGUGCUCGAGUGGCGAACGGGUGAGUAACACGUGAGUAACCUGCCCUUGACUUUGGGAUAACUUCAGGAAACUGGGGCUAAUACUGGAUAGGAGCUCCUGCUGCAUGGUGGGGGUUGGAAAGUUUCGGCGGUUGGGGAUGGGCUCGCGGCUUAUCAGCUUGUUGGUGGGGUAGUGGCUUACCAAGGCUUUGCCGGGUAGCCGACCUGGGAGGGUGACCGGCCACAUUGGGACUGAGAUACGGCCCAGACUCCUACGGGGGGCAGCAGUGGGGAAUAUUACACAAUGGGCGGAAGCCUGAUGCAGCAACGCCGCGUGCGGGAUGACGGCCUUCGGGUUGUAAACCGCUUUCGCCUGUGACGAAGCGUGAGUGACGGUAAUGGGUAAAGAAGCACCGGCUAACUACGUG